CACUCCUUUGAACUGUGCUGGUAGCAGUAAGGUGUCAUCAUUUGAGAUGGUCACAGUAUCCAAUACACUGAAGUCACAGGACUCAAAUUUCAUACAUGUUCACAGCUUUCUUGGCCCCGGGAGUGCUCGGUCUCUGAUCAGCAGGGGCAUUUUCUCUAUAUAAGAAGAAAAUGGAGACUCCCUACCCACCCGAUGUAUUUUGUCGGACAGUUUUCUGUAUAUUGCAGUCACCAAUAUAUCCAAAUAUCAUCACCGGCCCAGACGUCGUUCACUCCUUUGAACUGUGCUGGUAGCAGUAAGGUGUCAUCAUUUGAGAUGGUCACAGUAUCCAAUACACUGAAGUCACAGGACUCAAAUUUCAUACAUGUUCACAGCUUUCUUGGCCCCGGGAGUGCUCGGUCUCUGAUCAGCAGGGGCAUUUUCUCUAUAUAAGAAGAAAAUGGAGACUCCCUACCCACCCGAUGUAUUUUGUUGGACAGUUUUCUGUAUAUUGCAGCUACCAAUAUAUCCAAAUAUCAUCACCGGCCCAGACGUCGUUCACUCCUUUGAACUGUGCUGGUAGCAGUAAGGUGUCAUCAUUUGAGAUGGUCACAGUAUCCAAUACACUGAAGUCACAGGACUCAAAUUUCAUACAUGUU
Molecule: long non-coding RNA, 638 nt
Organism: Saccostrea cuccullata (small rock oyster)
Lineage: Eukaryota; Metazoa; Mollusca; Bivalvia; Ostreida; Ostreidae
Exons: 5
Source: RefSeq, a predicted model, not a curated record